GAUGAACGCUGGCGGCGUGCCUAAUACAUGCAAGUCGAGCGAACGGACGAGAAGCUUGCUUUUCUGAUGUUAGCGGCGGACGGGUGAGUAACACGUGGAUAACCUACCUAUAAGACUGGGAUAACUUCGGGAAACCGGAGCUAAUACCGGAUAAUAUUUUGAACCGCAUGGUUCAAAAGUGAAAGACGGUCUUGCUGUCACUUAUAGAUGGAUCCGCGCUGCAUUAGCUAGUUGGUAAGGUAACGGCUUACCAAGGCAACGAUGCAUAGCCGACCUGAGAGGGAGGUCGGCCACACUGGAACUGAGACACGGUCCAGACUCCUACGGGAGGCAGCAGUAGGGAAUCUUCCGCAAUGGGCGAGAGCCUGACGGAGCAACGCCGCGUGAGUGAUGAAGGCCUUCGGAUCGUAAAACUCUGUUAUUAGGGAAGAACAUAUGUGUAAGUAACUGUGCACAUCUUGACGGUACCUAAUCAGAAAGCCACGGCUAACUACGUG
Molecule: ribosomal RNA, 497 nt
Filed under: uncultured bacterium
Lineage: Bacteria
Description: partial 16S ribosomal RNA
Rfam family: Bacterial small subunit ribosomal RNA
Source: RNAcentral